Molecule: transfer RNA, 90 nt
Filed under: Candidatus Magasanikbacteria bacterium RIFOXYD1_FULL_40_23
Lineage: Bacteria; Candidatus Magasanikiibacteriota
Description: tRNA-Ser
Rfam family: tRNA
About the family: Transfer RNA (tRNA) molecules are approximately 80 nucleotides in length. Their secondary structure includes four short double-helical elements and three loops (D, anti-codon, and T loops).
Source: RNAcentral
GGAGAGAUGGCCGAGUGGUUUAAGGCAGCAGUUUACUAAACUGCCGGGCUCGAAAGGGCCUCUAGAGUUCGAAUCUCUAUCUCUCCGCCU